RNAcentral lists this unclassified non-coding RNA (88 nucleotides) under Pseudomonas trivialis. Lineage: Bacteria; Pseudomonadati; Pseudomonadota; Gammaproteobacteria; Pseudomonadales; Pseudomonadaceae. The record is from RNAcentral.
GUGAAAAGGGGCUUGCUCCCGAUGGUGGGGGAUCAGUCAGUACAUCUGUUGACUGAUCCGCCGCCAUCGGGAGCAAGCCCCCUCCCAC